Paramuricea clavata is the source of this 5075-nucleotide non-coding RNA. The record is from the annotation of a GenBank genome assembly. NCBI's taxonomy places the organism in Eukaryota, Metazoa, Cnidaria, Anthozoa, Malacalcyonacea, Plexauridae.
GGAACCUAACCCAGAUGAUCCUCUUAAUAAAGGUAUAGUCAAUAAUGUGUUUUAAUCAUUGUUAGACCCGGAUCGAGACGAAUCCCGUGAACUAUUGCCCGAAGUGAUGAUAUUUCCCGCGAGAGCAAAGCCCCAGGGUAGUAUUUCGAGGGUAAUAUUUCGCCGUAUCCCCCGAGCGGUCUAUGACUUGUAUAUUACACGAGCGGUCUGUGACUAAGUGACAUUAGUGACUUAUAAAUUAACUAUUUGAGUACAAUGUUUUAUUUUUCUAUUCACACGAGUUUUUGUCGCUUUUCUUUUAAAUUAUUCGCUGCAUGAGGUGGAAAAUGUUUUCUCCUUUCUGGAAAUCUGGGUUUAUGGCUCCGCAUUUUCUGGAAAAGAUUGCAAUAAAUAAGGAAAAUAACAAAAUUGUCAUUUGUGGUGUUGUCGUGUGAAGCAAUAUAUAUGAUUUAUUACUGAUAAAUACAUUGUGAGAUAAAUCUUAUAUUACUGAUAAACACAUUGUGAGAUAAAUCCGUAGUUGUUAAGUCUUACAUUAUUAAAAAACAAAUUUCCUACUGCAGGCUAUAUGAAUAUUUUUUAUGAAACUAUUCCACUGACUGUAAUUUAGGUACACUCAUUCCAGUAGUCAGGUAAUUAGCAAUUUCGAUAUUCAAUCAGUCUAAUUUUCAGAAUUAGCUAUCAAACAUAAAAAAUGUCCGUGAAAAUUUCUGCAAAAACGUGGAUCCUAAAACAUUUCUAGGAACUGGGUUACCAGUUUCCGAUACUUUUUCCGCUUCUAAUUAUUUGAUUAUUGCACUACAUAAUAAUAUUCGUGAAAAAAUUCAGUACAUUUUUUUCGAAAUACAGUACCAAAAAGUGAAUACAGUUACAGUGCAGACAAAUGAAAUACAGUGCAAACAGUGAAAAUAAUACAAAAACCCAAACAUUACGAGUGAGAAAAUUUUCUAAUAAUAAAAAUUGUUUCUAUUAAAGUUAUCUAUUUCGCAUGUGACUUACGCAUGGACAUGACUGCAUAAUUUUUUCAAGUAUAUUAUUAAUAAGUAAUAGUAAAUACGGUUUCUCGUGGAAUUUGGAAAAACAUACACUCGUGAGCAGUGGCGAAGCCAGCCCGACAGUUUGGUCAUGCUAUGCAAAUUUUAAAUCAUCAUUCAUUUCUUCAAAAAUUGAUUGUUUUCACUGUCUAUGAACACGGAAAUAUUUGCAUAGCAUGACCAAAUUGUCGGGCUGGCUCCCCACUGCUCGUGAGUUUUCAAGGACUUCAAAUUGCACUCGCUAUGUUCAAAUUGCACUCGUCCUUCGGACUCGUGCAAUUAUCACUCGUUCAUGUUUUUUCCCAAAUUUCACUCGAAACCUAUACAAAUCUUGAACGAUUUUUUCUUCUGCAUCCUAGACGCUGCAGAAGUGCUUCGAUCAAACAGAAGGUUGUUUGAACAGAAUGUUAAUAAAGCGAUGAGAGGAGGUUAUGUAAACGGUAUAUACUUUGAAAGAUGUCUUGGACGGUAAACAAUUUGAACAGGAAAAUGUAAACAUCAACGGCAUGAUACCCAGCAUGAAUGCACAGUAUAUAUAGUAUAAGAAAGAAGAAAUUCGACGGGAGGGGGUAGUUUUCUUUCUGUACAUUGUACAGAGUACCACGGAAUUCUGAAAGUAACGAUCCUCGAAAGAACCAUUGGCUGUAUUUAUAUCUGAAGACGUCUUAAACGUCUGAGACGAAUUACUUACUGUAUGUAAUGUAAAUACUUAAAGUUCGACGGAAGAAUGAAGCUUUCAAAGUGACUUGACAGCCAGCAGUCGGCUAUUUACGCGGCUAAACUCCCAGUAUUAUGGUGACUAGUUAAAAUCUACCUUUUAUAAAAUCAACAGAACCCAACCCCAAACCCUUCCCCAUAGCUAACCCUAACUGGUAAAUCUGAUAAGCAAUUGAGAGUUAAAAAAAAAAACAGAAAAAAUCUUUCCGUAUAGAUGCAGGCAUCAUUUCAUGUAAAAGUUUAAUAUUUUUGUAGUCUGCUGUUUGUUAGCUCAGGCUUUACUAUGUCUCUGAGAAACUAGAGCAAGUGCUUAUUCAGAAUAAGUACAUUUUAGAAACACCAUGCGUCAUAAAAACCAAAGUUACCUGAAGAGUGAAAAACAAGUUCGGGUAACCAACCGCGGAGAAACGUCGGCAAACUUUUGUGUUUAUUUCUGGACUAUCUAUGACGGAUUUGAAAAGAAAACAGAACAAUACGCGCUGCAGUUGUAUCGAUCUUAUAUACUUGCAUUUUUUAGCUUUUAGGUACUUGUUGGUUAUUUACCACUAAAAAUGAGCAUUUACGUGCAGAAAUUGAAAAACAUCGCAGAAUGCAACUGCAAAAAAUUUACAUUAUUACAAAAUAAAUAUCAGGUGGAAAAAUAAAUAUUCGCUGUAUGGCUAUCUGGUCACUUCGUAAAAAUUAACGUUGUCUGUUAGAUUCGUCUAAAUGACGUAUUUAACAAACGUCUUUAUCGUCUUAGACGUUUAACCGUCUACUAUAAAUACGUGACGAGCAAAUUUAGACGCACUUAAGAAAGAGCCACUCAGACGAAUGUCCCAAAUCCAAAUACUCUAUACCGUAUUUUUGCGAUUACGUUCUUGGUGAUAUGGUCAACAGUUCAGCUCGUAUUUAUAUUAUUCGCACGUAGCACCAGUGGCGUAACUUGUGGUAAAGGUCCUACCCGUUUAAAGUAGCGAGUGUGGGCGGGGGCUACGUCAAGAACAUGCAAAAUUUCCUGAAAUUCAUCAGUUUCACCAUUUUUUGAGCCAUCAGUUUCGCCAUUUUUUGAGCCAAGCGGUGCCUAAAGGAGUUACGCCACUGCUUAGCACAAAACGUUUAAUUCGUCUAGAUACCUAACACGUGUUCUAGUAUAAUAAAUACGACCAUUAUUUUUGGGAUAUUUUAGAAAUUUACUCUUGGGUACAGAACCUUAAUCCUGGAAAUAGCUUCGCCCUCCUGUCCAAAAUAACCUGUCCUCGUAUACCGGUUAUCAAUACAUAUGUACAGUAUAUCGAUUAAUAUUUGCAUAAGGAGUAUAGGCAUGGCCCGGUAAAAUAGGAAGACGAGUUGCAACGAAUUCUCAGAUUUGGCUCUGGGGGUGUCGAGAAUUCGGGGGGGGGGGGAGAUGAGCGAGGCACGAGUUGGGACAUUCUCGUACCCAGACCCCUUCUUACGCGCAGUCAGCGACGAAGGGCUCUGGCAAAAUCCAACCCAGAUACUAUAAAAACAUGGUAUCCGGUUAUACACUGCGCAUGCUCAACUCUUAUAGGAUAUGUGUGAAAUUCCAGUAGUUUGUUGCCAAAUACUCAUUUAGUGUGUUGAUUUACAUAAACUUUAACUUUGAUUUUCUCGGCUUUAUAGACAAUGUUUAUUUUUAAAAUUACUUCGCCAAUGAACUCAUAAGAUGAGUUGUUUUUUAAGCCAUUUACAACAUUCGCGUCCGUGUUGUAUUUGAUAUACAAACUCUCGCUUUCUGCUCGAGUUUGUAUAUCCAAUACAACACGGCCGCUCAUGUUGUAAAUAGUACAAGUGAACUGUUUAACAGAACUCAUCUAUCUAUCUGUAUACAUGGUCAUUACUCCACUGUUGUCACUGCUGUUUUUUAAUAUAAAAUGUUGUCACACGAAAAUAACGCUAAUUGAUUUUAGGGUGCUUUUUGUUAUUAACUGAUGUAGUUAAUAAUUACUUACGGUAGUCUAUUUUACACCGAUUUUACAUAGUACUUUUCACUUAAAAAAUGUAAUUUUUUGUUCAGUCACAAUAUAAAAUUGUAUAUAUGGCCACAUAAAAUAAAUUCCUUGAUUCUCAUCACUACACUUUGAAAAUGUCGAAGAGCCGGGAGGUUUAUAUUUUAUAUUUUAUAUUUAUAUAAUUUAUCAUCAAUAAAUAAAAAAAUAAUUCCUAACAUUUAAUAUUUCUGUGAUUUCCAAAGUAAAGUAUCACAAACCGAAAUAAACAUUAUUUCUCCACGAACAAUGACUGAACCCUUCAACUGAAUGCGAAGUUCCGUUAAAAUGCAAUGAAAUUUCUUUCAAGGUUCUAUUUGUUUGAAAUUGGCAGUUUAAAAUGGCAAUAAAAACCCAAUUUUAAAUAUAAAAAACUUAACUGUCUUGAAAUUUUUUGUCGGGCGGUACAUUUAUAUUGUAUAACAAAAUAUAAAAAAAAUUCACGCGGCUCUUAAAAUACAGUCGGGCGGUGAUGAGAAUCAAGGAAUUUGUUUUAUGUGGCCUAUAUAAACUUUUAAUAAAUAGGAUAAAUCUAUCAGCCUAAUCAUAAAAAAAUGUAUUGGUUAUAAAACAUUGUUUGUUGACUGAAUACUGCAACCUGCUGAGAUCAUUUUAGCUUUGUCUUUUCUUCAUGGAGUAAAUCAGGCUUUUAGGUUUCAAGAAAUUGUGACAUUGUUAUAUGUUCUGCCCCUCAAUAAUACAGAUCAAUUAAUAAACAGCAUAAUAUGUAGUUAUGAGACUGACUGCUGCCUUGACACACCAUGUACGAUUUUUUUUGGCCACUCUCUCUUUUGCAGCAUUUUUUUCAAUAGCUUAUACUAUUUAGAUUCUUUAAUUAUAGUUAACGUUGAGUUUUCUAGCUUCAUGCAUUGCUUUUAAUAAUACAUAUUGCUAUGAGGUAUAACAUUUGGUUCAGGGCCUCUUUUAAGGCAGGGCCAUAGGAAGCUCUUUUCGAUUGGGGGGGGGCUGAAAGCGAGGGCCGAAGGCCCGAUGAAAUUUUUAAAUGUAAAGUCUCUAAAGUGCCAUUUCCAGGACUUUGGGGAAGAUUUGACAGAAUUCUGAUGGUCAGAAACCAGCGUUUUAGUGUGUUGAAAUUUACAAUUUAGUAGUACUAAAUGGAUGAAGGCAUAUUUAAUGAACUAUAUAUUAGAUAAGUUGCAGGAAAAUAUGAGUAAUAUCUUCAUCCUUUGCAGUUUGUCAUGGAUUAAAUGAUAAAGGUCUGCAUGAUUUUGAAAAUGAUUAUUAGCAAAUUAUUGGGGGGGGGGGAGGAUUGCAACCCCCCUGGUUGCUUCGGCCCUGUAAGGAUGUGUAACUGGAAGGGACAUAUUUAGCGGGG